Molecule: ribosomal RNA, 610 nt
Filed under: uncultured bacterium
Lineage: Bacteria
Description: bacterial SSU rRNA
Rfam family: Bacterial small subunit ribosomal RNA (bases 1-522)
Source: RNAcentral
CCUACGGGAGGCAGCAGCGAGGAAUUUUGCACAAUCGACGCAAGUCGGAUGCAGCAACGCCGCGUGGGGGAAGAAGGCUUUCGAGUUGUAAACCCCUUUUGUGAGGGAAGAAGAUCUGACGGUACCUCACGAAUAAGUCACGGCUAACUACGUGCCAGCAGCCGCGGUAAUACGUAGGUGGCGAACGUUGUCCGGAUUUACUGGGCGUAAAGCGCGCGCAGGCGGACUGAUAAGUCAGAGGUGAAAUCUCCCGGCUCAACUGGGAGGGGCCCUUUGAUACUGUCAGUCUUGAGAUGCCUAGAGGAGAGUGGAAUUCCCGGUGUAGUGGUGGAAUGCGUAGAUAUCGGGAGGAACACCAGUGGCGAAAGCGACUCUCUGGGGGCGAUCUGACGCUGAGGCGCGAAAGCGUGGGGAGCAAACCGGAUUAGAUACCCGGGGUAGUCCACGCCGUAAACGAUGAGUACUAGCUGUAGUGGGUACUCGACUCCUGUGUAGCGAGACUACGACGAUAAGUACUCCGCCGUCGGGUACGUACCGACCGACGAACGUUAAACGUAACGAAGUAGAGUAAGUACGNGUUGAGACGUUAGCGACGACGACGACGAGGGAG